This 207-nucleotide ribosomal RNA is filed under the name uncultured bacterium. RNAcentral describes it as "partial 16S ribosomal RNA". It matches the Rfam family "Bacterial small subunit ribosomal RNA", at positions 568 to 774 of the family's 1533-position model. The record is from RNAcentral.
CGUGUAGGCGGCCAGGUAGGUCGGUUGUGAAAACUAGAGGCUCAACCUCUAGACGUCGACCGAAACCACUUGGCUAGAGUCCGGAAGAGGAGAGUGGAAUUCCUGGUGUAGCGGUGAAAUGCGCAGAUAUCAGGAAGAACACCCGUGGCGAAGGCGGCUCUCUGGGACGGUACUGACGCUGAGACGCGAAAGCGUGGGGAGCGAACA